RNAcentral lists this unclassified non-coding RNA (424 nucleotides) under soil metagenome. RNAcentral's name for it is "partial contains 5.8S ribosomal RNA, internal transcribed spacer 2, and large subunit ribosomal RNA". The stretch from base 1 to 120 matches the Rfam family "5.8S ribosomal RNA", at positions 35 to 154 of the family's 154-position model. The record is from RNAcentral.
GAUGAAGAACGUAGCGAAAUGCGAUAAGUAAUGUGAAUUGCAGAAUUCAGUGAAUCAUCGAAUCUUUGAACGCACCUUGCGCUCCUUGGUAUUCCAAGGAGCAUGCCUGUUUGAGUAUCAUUAAAUUAUCAACUGUGCCAAUUUGUUUACAGAUUGGAUGUGGGAGAUUCUUUUUGCAGGCCUUUGACUUCUCUUUGAGAAAAAAAUAAAAGGUCGGCUCUCCUGAAAUGUAUUAGCAGUGCCUUUGUUGGUUCAUUAGGUGUGAUAAAUUGUCUACAUCUUCACAUGAUACCUUCAUUUGUAAAGGUUAUAUUGAUUCUAAAUUGUCUUUGAUUGGACGCAAAACAUAUAUAAUGUUUGACAAACUUGAUCUCAAAUCAGGCAGGACUACCCGCUGAACUUAAGCAUAUCAAUAAGCGGAGGA